Nerophis lumbriciformis (worm pipefish) is the source of this 2067-nucleotide RNA transcript. It is a transcript of the gene named synaptotagmin VIII, with no coding region annotated. NCBI's taxonomy places the organism in Eukaryota, Metazoa, Chordata, Actinopteri, Syngnathiformes, Syngnathidae. The record is from RefSeq and is a predicted model, not a curated record.
CACACACACACACGGUCUGAGGGUGCAGAACAGGAAGUGGCGAGCAGGACUAAUGAGCUUCCUGCCUUAUCACGGCAGGGAGGAGACGUUUCCUCUUCUGUCCAGCGGCUUUGGGAUACACGUCUAGCCCCGCCCACUUCCUUGCUGGACGCCACUUCCUUCCUGAAAGUCAAGUCCUUCAAGGAUCGUCCAGGUGAUGUUGGUCUUCUUCUGACCGCCAAAUCCUCAUCAUCAUGAUCCUGCUACCAAGCCUCCCACCAUUGUUAAAGGAAGCCCAGGCUUCGCUACCCUCCUUGAACUCUAUCAUCUUCGACAACGGCACCGCAGGCGACCUCGUCCACGGACUAGUGGACAGAAUUCCCUUGUCUUCAUGGGCCGUCAAACUGGUGGCGGGUCUGUCCGUGGUUGUGGUGCUGGGGCUGGUGGUCUGCGUGUGCGUCUGCUGCUGCAGAGGCCGCUGGAAGAAGAGACGCAAGAAGAAGCUGGACGAACACGUCAAACUGGCAUCGCUGAGCGGGCAAACCUCCGCCACGCUGGUUCAACCCGGCGCAGACGGGACUUCUAGCGCCGAGAAUCAGCGGCGAGGGAAGCUGCUCUACUCUCUGGAGUUCAACGCUGCCCUCUCCCAGCUGACGGUGGGCGUCAAACAAGCCAGCAGCCUGAAGGCCAUGGACGCCGGAGGAAGCUCUGACCCGUACGUGAAGGUCUACCUCCUCCCCGACAAGACCAAGACCUGCGAGACCAAAGUGCUGAAGAACAGGCUGGACGCCGUCUUCAACGAGCACUUCGACUUCCAGGUCUCCAAGGCGACGCUGCUCAAGUCCACGGCGGUCUUGCAGGUGUUCGACUUCGACAGGUUCUCCAAGCACGACAUUAUCGGCGAGCUCAGGCUGGAACUGGGCCAGGUGGACUGGAACCACGUCAUCGAGGAGUGGCGAGAGCUGGAGGAGCCAACCACGAUGGAGGAGGAGAACCUCGGAGACAUCUGCUUCUCGCUGCGCUUCGUCCCCACCUCCAGCAAACUGACCGUGGUCAUCCUGGAGGCCAAGAACCUCAAAAGCACCGACUUGGACGGCAGUUCAGAUCCCUACGUGAAGGUGCAGCUGGCCCUGGACAAGAGGAAGUGGAAGAAGAAGAAGACGACGGUGAAGAACAACACCUUGAACCCGUACUACAACGAAGCCUUCACCUUCAAAGUCAGCCUGGAGCAAAUACGGCGUGUCAACUUGGUCAUUUCUGUGUGGGACCACGACCCCGUGACGCCCAACGACCCGACGGGGAAGAUCUUCCUGGGCAACGACUCGGCGGGCAACCAGCUGAGGCACUGGGCCGACAUGCUAUCCAACCCGCGGCGCCCGGUGGCACAGUGGCACACGCUGCUGUCGCCCCAGCAGGUCAACGCCAGCCUGACCCUGAAGAAGAAGAUCCCUCUGGUGAAGAAGAUGCCCUUCUGAGACCGCUCCUUUUGAAAGGUCUUCCUCUUCAGUGUUUGCACAAGUGCAUGUUGAGUUCACAGUUUGGGCGUCGUUGCCUCCCAGGUGAGGUGGAAACAAUCAAGCUGAGCUGGCGUGUCUUUUCAUGCCGCUUCAGGCCUCCUGAGAGGAGCCUGAUCACACCUUUCAACCGCACACAAUGAUGCCAGUGGCCUGCAGGGGGAGACACACAGUUUUUAUAUGUCAUAUUAUGCAAAAAUGUGUGGUGGGUGUGUGUAUAUAUAUAUUUUUAACCAAAAUAAUUGUCAUCAAGAGAAUAGAAGGGUUGGAUAAAAGUCAAUAACUAUAAACAAAAACCCAUAAAAAAAAUAAUACAAUCUUAUAAUCGACUGAUAGAUCUGACAAUGAUCUAGAGAUUUCAGUGCUGAAAGUUACAAAAAAAAAAAAAAUUGUAUGACUUAUUUUAACACUUUUAUGAGUGGGAUUCUUUUGGAUCCCUAAGAAUUUUAGUGGUACUUUUCUUUAAAACUGUCAUUGCUCAAAAAAUAUUAAUGAAUCAAAAUCAACAUUGUUAUGCAUUAUUGACAUAUUUAAAACUUUAAUUACUUCACAUCAAAUAUUCCACUUGGAGAUA